This 388-nucleotide unclassified non-coding RNA is filed under the name Hevea brasiliensis (rubber tree). Lineage: Eukaryota; Viridiplantae; Streptophyta; Magnoliopsida; Malpighiales; Euphorbiaceae. The record is from RNAcentral.
GUUCACUACUGACAUAGAUCAACAGUGAAAAACUUGAUAGAUUAGAAUUAGGGCUAGGUUUGGUAUAAUUAAAGAAAUUAGAGAUGAAGGCAGAUCUAUUUUUAACUCAGUUGUCAAGAAAAUACACACUAUAUCCAUGUGUAGGGAUUAGAAGAAGCAAAAAAUGUUAAAUAAAUUAAAUCCACACUUGUAAUAAUUAAACUAAUGAAAUAAAAAUAACAAAUCCAUGCUGUGUUUAAAGUAUAUUAAUCAGAUACAGGAGUAAAAACUAUAAUAUUCAAUAAUACAUAUUGAACAAAAAAAGUAUUUUAUUCACCAGAAUAUUUUCUGAGAACACAAUCAAGAUAACAAAAUAAAAGUAGAAGAAGAAAGUUGGGAUAGGCAGGGG